This 654-nucleotide long non-coding RNA is filed under the name Brachypodium distachyon (stiff brome). Its description in RNAcentral is "long non-coding RNA (BDIS_LNC001205)". The record is from RNAcentral. Lineage: Eukaryota; Viridiplantae; Streptophyta; Magnoliopsida; Poales; Poaceae.
CUCCUUUUCAGCAGAGCAUAUAUCUACAGUACCUACCGUACAUUAUGUCAUAAUCUUGCACUAAUGUUUCAGGUGUAUCGACCAUUAUCUAAGAUUCUACCGGAACAUGCUCCGAUGAUGCAUAUAGUGAAUUCUCUAAGAUCGUGGGCAAAAUCUGCAUGUAUACGCUCUCCUGCAGGUGGUGAACGCCAUUUUGACCGGAGUCAUGGUCGGGAUAGGCGUUUAUGGCCGCUACCGUCUAUUUACGCGUAUCCUCUUCCUCAGUGACAUAUUUGUAUAAUUGUAUAUUCGUGCAUGGCUAGUGACAUAAAAUUGAUCAGAGAUCGAUCGGAUCAUUUGAUUUUUUUUUUGUUUCAUUUUAAUUGUCUUGCGAAAAAGAAACACAAAUUAUAUAUAACUGCUGUUACUACAUCAGGAUACUACAAAUUGUGAAGAUACAAGUUAGUUUAAUUAAUUCGUAGUAAUUAAGUUUCAUUAUAUAAUUCUUUAGUGACAACUUAAUUACACGUUGUCCUUAUCUUCUCACACUGAAUUUAAUCGGGGGCAUAUAUAAAUUAAGAGCAACUGCUGCUAGCUGCUACAUCGCAUCAGGCCAUCAGCUAUAGAUGGAUCAUCAUCAGUCGUCCAUGGAAACGGGGGGAGGCAACAAGGCCU